AGUGAACGCUGGCGGUAGGCCUAACACAUGCAAGUCGAACGGCAGCACAGUAAGAGCUUGCUCUUACGGGUGGCGAGUGGCGGACGGGUGAGGAAUACAUCGGAAUCUACUUUUUCGUGGGGGAUAACGUAGGGAAACUUACGCUAAUACCGCAUACGACCUACGGGUGAAAGCAGGGGAUCUUCGGACCUUGCGCGAUUGAAUGAGCCGAUGUCGGAUUAGUUAGUUGGCGGGGUAAAGGCCCACCAAGGCGACGAUCCGUAGCUGGUCUGAGAGGAUGAUCAGCCACACUGGAACUGAGACACGGUCCAGGCUCCUACGGGAGGCAGCAGUGGGGAAUAUUGGACAAUGGGCGCAAGCCUGAUCCAGCCAUACCGCGUGGGUGAAGAAGGCCUUCGGGUUGUAAAGCCCUUUUGUUGGGAAAGAAAAGCAGCAGGUUAAUACCCCGCUGUUCUGACGGUACCCAAAGAAUAAGCACCGGCUAACUUCGUG
This 492-nucleotide ribosomal RNA is filed under the name uncultured bacterium. RNAcentral's name for it is "partial 16S ribosomal RNA". It matches the Rfam family "Bacterial small subunit ribosomal RNA", at positions 29 to 507 of the family's 1533-position model. The record is from RNAcentral.